CCUACGGGUGGCAGCAGUAGGGAAUUUUUCACAAUGGGCGAAAGCCUGAUGGAGCAACGCCGCGUGCAGGAUGAAGGCCUUCGGGCUGUAAACUGCUUUUAUAAGCGAGAAAUAUGAUGGUAACUUAUGAAUAAGGAUCGGCUAACUACGUGCCAGCAGCCGCGGUCAUACGUAGGAUCCGAGCAUUAUCCGGAGUGACUGGGUGUAAAGAGUUGCGUAGGUGGCAUAAUAAGUAGCUAGUGAAAUCUGGUGGCUCAACCAUUCAGACUAUUAGCUAAACUGUUAAGCUCGAGACCGUUAGGGGUAACUGGAAUUUCUAGUGUAGGAGUGAAAUCCGUAGAUAUUAGAAGGAACACCAAUAGCGUAGGCAGGUUGCUGGGACGGUUCUGACACUAAGGCACGAAAGCGUAGGGAGCAAACGGGAUUAGAUACCCGGGUAGUC
Molecule: ribosomal RNA, 442 nt
Filed under: uncultured bacterium
Lineage: Bacteria
Description: partial 16S ribosomal RNA
Rfam family: Bacterial small subunit ribosomal RNA
Source: RNAcentral